UACGUAGGGACCAAGCGUUGUUCGGAUUUACUGGGCGUAAAGGGCUCGUAGGCGGCCAACUAAGUCCGACGUGAAAUCCCCAGGCUUAACCUGGGAACUGCGUCGGAUACUGGAUGGCUUGAAUCCGGGAGAGGGAUGCGGAAUUCCAGGUGUAGCGGUGAAAUGCGUAGAUAUCUGGAGGAACACCGGUGGCGAAGGCGGCAUCCUGGACCGGCAUUGACGCUGAACAGCGAAAGCCAGGGGAGCAAACAGG
This 253-nucleotide ribosomal RNA is filed under the name uncultured prokaryote. Its description in RNAcentral is "partial 16S ribosomal RNA". It matches the Rfam family "Bacterial small subunit ribosomal RNA", at positions 524 to 776 of the family's 1533-position model. The record is from RNAcentral.